This 173-nucleotide non-coding RNA is filed under the name Synergistaceae bacterium. RNAcentral describes it as "6S RNA". It matches the Rfam family "6S / SsrS RNA". Rfam says of the family: E. coli 6S RNA was the first non coding RNA to be sequenced, but its function was unknown until recently. It consists of 184 nucleotides that fold into an extended hairpin structure with a large single-stranded internal bulge. Lineage: Bacteria; Thermotogati; Synergistota; Synergistia; Synergistales; Synergistaceae. The record is from RNAcentral.
AAUUUCCUGCGGUGUGCGUGUAACGGGAAAUGUCUUGAGCCAACGUUCUAACCCCGCGGAGAAUUGCUCCGGACCGGCGGAUGCGGCGGACGUUGCACAAGCUAAGGCUCGGGAAUUCUCCAUCCUUGAUGGAGCGGGUCAAGACAGUCCGUUCACGGCAUUGCGGGAUAUUU